GACGAACGCUGGCGGCGUGCUUAACACAUGCAAGUCGAACGGAAAGGCCCUGCUUUUGUGGGGUGCUCGAGUGGCGAACGGGUGAGUAACACGUGAGUAACCUGCCCUUGACUUUGGGAUAACUUCAGGAAACUGGGGCUAAUACCGGAUAGGAGCUCCUGCUGCAUGGUGGGGGUUGGAAAGUGUCGGCGGUUGGGGAUGGAUUCGAGGCUUAUCAGCUUGUUGGUGGGGUAGUGGCUUACCACGGCUGUGACGGGUAGCCGGCCUGAGAGGGGGACCGGCCACAAUGGGACUGAGAUACGGACCAGACUCCUACGGGAGGCAGCAGUGGGGAAUAUUGCACAAUGGGCGGAAGCCUGAUGCAGCAACGCCGCGUGCGGGAUGACGGCCUUCGGGUUGUAAACCGCUUUCGCCUGUGACGAAGCGUGAGUGACGGUAAUGGGUAAAGAAGCACCGGCUAACUACGUG
Molecule: ribosomal RNA, 468 nt
Filed under: uncultured bacterium
Lineage: Bacteria
Description: partial 16S ribosomal RNA
Rfam family: Bacterial small subunit ribosomal RNA
Source: RNAcentral